Molecule: ribosomal RNA, 633 nt
Filed under: Tomentella megaspora
Lineage: Eukaryota; Fungi; Basidiomycota; Agaricomycetes; Thelephorales; Thelephoraceae
Description: partial large subunit ribosomal RNA
Rfam family: Eukaryotic large subunit ribosomal RNA
Source: RNAcentral
AAGCAUAUCAAUAAGCGGAGGAAAAGAAACUAACAAGGAUUCCCCUAGUAACUGCGAGUGAAGCGGGAAGAGCUCAAAUUUAAAAUCUGGCGUGCCUCUGGUCGUCCGAGUUGUAGUCUAGAGAAGCGUUUUCCGUGUCGGACCGUGUAUAAGUCUCUUGGAACAGGGCGUCAUAGAGGGUGAGAAUCCCGUCUUUGACACGGACUACCGAUGCUUUGUGAUGUGCUCUCAAAGAGUCGAGUUGUUUGGGAAUGCAGCUCAAAAUGGGUGGUAAAUUCCAUCUAAAGCUAAAUAUAGGCGAGAGACCGAUAGCGAACAAGUACCGUGAGGGAAAGAUGAAAAGCACUUUGGAAAGAGAGUUAAACAGUACGUGAAAUUGCUGAAAGGGAAACGCUUGAAGUCAGUCACGUCUGCCAGGACUCAGCCUUGCUUCUGCUUGGUGCACUUUCUGGUUUGAUGGGCCAACAUCAAUUUUGACCGUUGGAGAAAGGCUUUGGGAACGUGGCACCUUUGGGUGUGUUAUAGCCCUUUGUUGUAUACAACGGUUGGGAUUGAGGACCGCAGCACGCCUUUAUGGCCGGGGUUCGCCCACGUACGUGCUUAGGAUGUUGGCAUAAUGGCUUUAAGCGACCC